UUUUAUGAGAGUUUGAUCCUGGCUCAGGACGAACGCUGGCGGCGUGCCUAAUACAUGCAAGUCGAACGCUUCUUUUUCCACCGGAGCUUGCUCCAUCGGAAAAAGAGGAGUGGCGAACGGGUGAGUAACACGUGGGUAACCUGCCCAUCAGAAGGGGAUAACACUUGGAAACAGGUGCUAAUACCGUAUAACAAUCGAAACCGCAUGGUUUUGAUUUGAAAGGCGCUUUCGGGUGUCGCU
This 240-nucleotide ribosomal RNA is filed under the name Enterococcus hirae. Its description in RNAcentral is "partial 16S ribosomal RNA". It matches the Rfam family "Bacterial small subunit ribosomal RNA", at positions 1 to 219 of the family's 1533-position model. The record is from RNAcentral. Lineage: Bacteria; Bacillati; Bacillota; Bacilli; Lactobacillales; Enterococcaceae.